Molecule: ribosomal RNA, 207 nt
Filed under: uncultured bacterium
Lineage: Bacteria
Description: partial 16S ribosomal RNA
Rfam family: Bacterial small subunit ribosomal RNA
Source: RNAcentral
CACGUAGGCGGAUCGGAAAGUUGGGGUGAAAUCCCGGGGCUCAACCCCGGAACUGCCUUCAAAACUAUCGGUCUGGAGUUCGAGAGAGGUGAGUGGGAUUCCGAGUGUAGAGGCGAAAUUCGUAGAUAUUCGGAGGAACACCAGUGGCGAAGGCGGCUCACUGGCUCGAUACUGACGCUGAGGUGCGAAAGCGUGGGGAGCAAAACA